Molecule: ribosomal RNA, 400 nt
Filed under: uncultured bacterium
Lineage: Bacteria
Description: bacterial SSU rRNA
Rfam family: Bacterial small subunit ribosomal RNA
Source: RNAcentral
AACGAACGUUAGCGGCGCGCCUAACGCAUGCAAGUCGCACGAGAAAGGGCUUCGGCCCCGGUAAAGUGGCGCACGGGUGAGUAACACGUGGGCAACCUGCCCUCGAGCGGGGGAUAACAUUCCGAAAGGAGUGCUAAUACCGCAUAAGACCACGACCUCGAAAGAGGAUGAGGUCAAAGCCGGCCUCUAUACAUAAGCUGGCACCUAAGGAUGAGUCCGCGGCCCAUCAGCUAGUUGGCAGGGUAAUGGCCUACCAAGGCUAAGACGGGUAGCUGGUCUGAGAGGAUGAUCAGCCACACUGGAACUGAGACACGGUCCAGACUCCUACGGGAGGCAGCAGUGGGGAAUCUUGCGCAAUGGGCGAAAGCCUGACGCAGCGACGCCGCGUGAGUGAUGAAGG